UACGGAGGGUGCGAGCGUUGUCCGGAAUCAUUGGGCGUAAAGGGCGCGUAGGUGGCCCGGUCAGUUCGUGGUGAAAGCGCGGGGCUCAACCCUGCGUCGGCCAUGAAUACUGCCGCGGCUGGAGCACUGUAGAGGCAGGCGGAAUUCCGGGUGUAGCGGUGGAAUGCGUAGAGAUCCGGAAGAACACCGGUGGCGAAGGCGCUGCUCUGGGCCGGUACUGACGCUGAGGAGCGAAAGCGUGGGUAGCAAACAGG
This 254-nucleotide ribosomal RNA is filed under the name uncultured bacterium. RNAcentral's name for it is "partial 16S ribosomal RNA". It matches the Rfam family "Bacterial small subunit ribosomal RNA", at positions 524 to 776 of the family's 1533-position model. The record is from RNAcentral.